This 746-nucleotide ribosomal RNA is filed under the name Leotia lubrica. RNAcentral's name for it is "partial large subunit ribosomal RNA". It matches the Rfam family "Eukaryotic large subunit ribosomal RNA", at positions 68 to 937 of the family's 3401-position model. Lineage: Eukaryota; Fungi; Ascomycota; Leotiomycetes; Leotiales; Leotiaceae. The record is from RNAcentral.
ACAGGGAUGCCUCAGUAACGGCGAGUGAAGCGGCAAGAGCUCAAAUUUGAAAUCUGGCGGGUCCGAGUUGUAAUUUGUAGAGGAUGCUUCGGGCGUAGCCCUUGGCACAGGGCGUCAUAGAGGGUGAGAACCCCGUAUGCGGCCGGGUGCCUAAACCCUUGUGAAGCUCCCUCGACGAGUCGAGUUGUUUGGGAUUGCAGCUCAAAAUGGGUGGUAAAUUUCAUCUAAAGCUAAAUACCGGCCAGAGACCGAUAGCGCACAAGUAGAGUGAUCGAAAGAUGAAAAGCACUUUGGAAAGAGAGUUAAAAGUACGUGAAAUUGUUGAAAGGGAAGCGCUUGCGACCAGACUUGGGCGCGGCCGAUCACCCGGUGCACUCGGCCGCGCAGGCCAGCAUCGGUUGGCGGCCAGACAAAGGAACGUGGCUCCCUCGCCCGGCGCCAUGUGGCCGCUGGGACCGAGGACCGCGCCUCGGUCGCAAGCGACCCGUCUUGAAACACGGACCAAGGAGUGGAAUAAUCAUGCGAGUGUUUGGGCGUAAACCCAUGCGCGGAAUGAAAGUGAACGGAGGUGAGGCGCAUCAUCGACCGAUCCUGAUGUCUUCGGAUGGAUUUGAGUAAGAGCAUGGCUGUUCCGACCCGAAAGAUGGUGAACUAUGCGUGGAUAGGGUGAAGCCAGAGGAAACUCUGGUGGAGGCUCGGUUCUGACGUGCAAAUCGAUCGUCAAAUCUGGGGCGAAAGACUAAUCG